Molecule: small nucleolar RNA, 81 nt
Organism: Pelodiscus sinensis (Chinese soft-shelled turtle)
Lineage: Eukaryota; Metazoa; Chordata; Testudines; Trionychidae
Product: small nucleolar RNA SNORD121A
Source: Ensembl
GUCCAGAAGACAGUGAUGUAUUUUCCAAGCACAUAUCUGACUGAUCUGUGAGGAAAUGAACUGUUUCUGAGUUUUCUGGAC